GUUGACACACCUGGGUUAAGUCUCCACAUUCUGGAGCGGUCACGUGACUCCUCGACAUGAAGCCUGUCAGGACAUUUCCAGACAAUCUUCAGUACCUGACUAUCUCAGACAGUCACAGGAAUGCCGCUCCCUCCCUUUACGUCCAUGUGGGAAUGUGCCUCCUCCUCCUCCAUUAACUGUGUCUGGAGGCCGGUCUCUGAGGGAAGUCGACGUCAGCUGCAUGGACGGCGCAAGCUCAGCUGAUCUCCGUUUUCCUGUACCUUGGAGACAUCAUGCCUCGUCGGUGUGUUGUCGGAGGGUGUAACAACACCAACAGGGACGGAUUCAAGUUGCACCACUGGCCAAAAGAUGCGAAAGUCCAUCGUUUGUUCCACACACUUUACCGACGACAGAGAUGGGAAGAAUGUGUGGAUAUCCUGCAACACUCAAAGCAGAUGCAUUGCCAACGAUAAAGUCAACAAAAUCACAAAGUGUGCAACCCUCAGUGGAAAAAGUUUGGACACCCCUGGCCUAAGACCUUUGAUGUUCCCGUUGGGUCAACUUAUGCACAGUCAGACCAGAUCCAGGACACAGCCUGACCGCUUUGAUAACUUCAGCUCCUCUGUGUACCAUAGGGCAGACCAGGCAGGCGUGAUGUGGAUUAUCUGGCCGCUGCUGUGACCUCAGCUGUCCUCGCCGUGACCAGACGACAGAGUUCACAGCAAAAAGACAGACAUCUGCUUUAGUCGCGGUGCCUAUAUCAGCUACAAUCGGGCGGAAGCCGCGGUACACCCUGGACAAGUCCCCUACUCAUCACAGUAUGUGUAGAAAUCUUUAUAAUUGAAUCACUUGUUUAUUUUUCAACAAGUUUUUAGUUAUUCGUAUAUCUUUUUGUCCAAAUAGUUAAAAAAAGACCACUACAAAUGAGCAAUAUGUUGCACUGUUAUACAAUUUAAUGAAUCAGAAACUGAUGACAUAGUGCUGUAUUUUACUUCAUCUUUUUUUUUCAACCAAAAAUGCUUUGCUCUGAUUAGGGGGUACUUGAAUUAAAAAAAUGUUCACAGGGGGUACAUCUCUGAAAAAAGGUUGAGAACCACUGCUCUAAAAGCUGUAGAUGUUAUUGUCACAUAUGCAUGCACAGUAGAUGGCAGUAUUGUCCUGUUUAAGAGUGUCACAACAUUGCUGUUUACGGCAGAUGAACUGCUUUACAUUACCGUUACGAAAACGUGACUGCUGUUGUUGUGUGUUGUUACCGCGCUGGGAGGAUGUUAAUGAAACUGCCUAACAAUAAACCCACAUAAGAAACCAAGAACUUGCCCUCGAUCAUUCUACAGUUAUAACAUCAUUGGGCAGGCACUCUGUUUAUAUUGUGGGA
Nerophis ophidion (straightnose pipefish) is the source of this 1354-nucleotide long non-coding RNA. RefSeq lists it as uncharacterized. The transcript is spliced from 7 exons. The record is from RefSeq and is a predicted model, not a curated record. NCBI's taxonomy places the organism in Eukaryota, Metazoa, Chordata, Actinopteri, Syngnathiformes, Syngnathidae.